Molecule: non-coding RNA, 287 nt
Filed under: Pseudomonas lactis
Lineage: Bacteria; Pseudomonadati; Pseudomonadota; Gammaproteobacteria; Pseudomonadales; Pseudomonadaceae
Description: rne-II RNA
Rfam family: rne-II RNA
Source: RNAcentral
AUACGUGUAGGGUGGAGAUGCACAACCGUCGGACUGUGUAGCACUAGGCUUGUUUUAGACGCUUCAUCUCGUCCACAGUCGCCGGUUGAUUCCUCCUCCUGACCUUAGCUUUUGUUGAAGUGGUGCCUUUGUCACCACCGCUAACGAGCAGGACGCGUCCGUCGCGAUUCCGGCCCAAUUGGCCGAUUUUGCUGGACACUGGAGUGGCCAACCACUCUUGACGCACCUGACACCGACCGUGAGAAGUCGUGUGUGCCGAACGCCGUUUCCGGCAGCCCGGAAACCGA